Molecule: non-coding RNA, 514 nt
Organism: Myodes glareolus (Bank vole)
Lineage: Eukaryota; Metazoa; Chordata; Mammalia; Rodentia; Cricetidae
Source: RefSeq, a predicted model, not a curated record
UCAAUUCUUACCUAAGACUUCUUCAUGGAGCAACUGUGGAGGCUGGGGAACAGAGCCCAAGGUUUGGCUUGGGAAGUGAUUCAAGGACAAAGGCCUCUGUGCCAUCUGAGAAAAUACUGGGAACCAGUCACUGUUGCGUGACGUUCACAGUUCACAUCUGGUGUUAGGAAAUCUACACUUCAAGCCAAGGAUGGCAUCCUGGCUGGACACGAAGGUGUCAUUGACAGGUUGCUGCGUGAAAGUGCGGCCAUCCAGCCAGCAGCUGACAGCACACACUGAAGGACCAGCGGACACUUAAUUCAAUUAUUUUGUCCUAGAGGAGACCCUGUAAGGGGUCAGCUACGGGGUCAUCUCAGGUCAGGCAAAGGGAGCCCUUCAUAGAAAACCACAACUGGACACACGCAGAGAUCAACAGCUCCCGGGGAGCCCACCCCACUGGACACACCUACGUCACAGCUCCUGCAUCCGCUCCGUCACAGAAGAGGGGCCAGAAAGGUUGUCAGAAUACCAGAAA